This 42469-nucleotide long non-coding RNA is filed under the name Triticum aestivum (bread wheat). RNAcentral describes it as "long non-coding RNA (TAES_LNC015681)". Lineage: Eukaryota; Viridiplantae; Streptophyta; Magnoliopsida; Poales; Poaceae. The record is from RNAcentral.
UGAGGGAUCUCAUCUCCUUCGCAAGGAGAUAUAUGUAGAUGGUCAUCCAGAAGACACAAUAAUAACAGACAGGGCUGGCAGAGAAGCGUCAGUCUGUGAAUAAGGGAUCUGAUCUCCUUUGGGAGGAGAUAAGCAGAUACCAAGAAAAGAUAGUUACAGCAACAUGUUGGAAGUUUGCCCUUGCUAUUUUUCGUGUAUGAGAGGAGUAUAAUUAUGGGAGCCAUGUGUAUUAUGAUGUACAAUUCUCCGUUUUACUGUCGUGUUAAAUUAAACGUUGGCAAUGGCUUGCCACUUCGCCUGAAUAAGGAGCCAAAUCGAGGAAAUUGUAAAGCGUCACAAUAUAUAUUCAGUACUCAUUUGUACUCCCAAGGCAUAUAAUUCACAUUUGCCUCGUUUUCAUAGCUACUUACAAGAAGCUUGUUGUGAAGGACUCUUGUUAUUAAUGCUAUCUGCUAUGGUGCUAAGUUUAUGAUUCCUGGAUGGCUCCGGUUUGAGAAUGACAUUGAUGUUGGGGAAGUGGUUGUUCUCAUGACGACCAAGGGGGAGGUGAUUGCCAUUGGUAUCGCUGAGAUCCCAACUGCUGUUAUGGCGACUGAUGACCAUGGCGCGGCAGCGAAGAUCAAGAGGGUGGUCAUGGACAGAGGCACAUACCAGGAAAUGGGAACUUGGUCCGGUGGCAGCGUCCGAAAGAUGAUGAACGAGGGCUCCUUGAUAAGCAUGGGAAACCAACUGAGAAGACCCCAGCUGAGUGAAUAUUCAAUCCCGAGCCUAAGGCUCAUCUGCACCCGGUGAACAGAAUUCAUGGCAAAAAUGACAAAAUCCGGCCUGAACAGUAUGCAAACAGUAAACUUCUCACAGAUCCCAAAUUGUCUUUUUUUGCUGAGAACUACUCAGAUGCCCAAACACAAUGAAAUUUGUCACGUACAUCACGCACUUGAACAUCUCCCACGGGUGAAGAUGCACCUGAGGGCCAAAACACCCUCCUCCUGUGCUUCCUACUGGUGUGCAGGGAUUGUUAGCAUUGCAGCUGCUCCUGAACCCGAUAAGGUAAAAGUGGAACACCAUGAUGUGGUGCCAAGUGAGGAUUUCAAGAAGAAAAAAGAGAAAGACCCAUCAGGAUAUGAUGUAACUGGGGGAGAACAGAAUAGUGAGAAGAAGAAGAAGAAGAAGAAGAAGAAGAAGAAAGGCGGUGACGUUGUUGCUCUAGAGACUACAGAAGUUGAGAAGAGUGUGAAGAAAAAAAACACAGAGGCACAAUAGAUACUCCCUCCGUCCCAUAAUGUAAGACAUAGGAUGGUCAUGUUUUUGGUUGCAAUUCUAUGUAGGCUGCAACGCUGAGCUCGUCCAUGUAGCUAGUGAUGAAACCACAUGUCGCAAAAGGGGCUUGGAACUUGCCCUCAAAGAUUAUGUCCCUCCGAGCUUUCCAGAUCACUUCGACAUGCCCCGCUUCGUUCGAUUGUUCUUCCAAUGAAAAGAGCCAGUUCUUUGCCGCCGGUUGCGUACAAAGCUUGAGGCGUUCGUACAAGUCUUCAUCCAAUAAUAUCUGGCCAUCCUGCCCUCGACGAGUGAAUGCCUCCGCGAGUGUCCCGUGUAGUCGCAAAUGGAGCAUGUCUUCGAUGUGGCCAUGUUCCUCCUGUGAGCAAUGUCCGCUGUGGGUAAACUAUGCCUUGCCAACCGUCAUGCAAAGAUUAUUAGCUUGGACGGUAACUUUUUUGCCAAAUGUGGGUGUCUUGUCCAUUGCCGAUCCCGCGGAUCAGGCCUUGCUUGAGAACCUCACGGCCGUUCAAGAUUGAACGCCAUACUUGGGAUGGUCGUGACCCCAAUUGCGCUGUCCAAAAAUCACCGUUAGGAAAAUAGAGCGCCUUCAGAAUCUGCCCACGUAGGACCUCUUUGAUUCACAGGAUUGUAAAAACACAUGAAUAGAAAAAAGGACCGUGAUAUUUGGCACUUGUGUGGUGGAUAGCAAAACUACCACACUCCUCCUUCCUCCCAUAUAAAUACAUGCAUGCAUGCAUUAGGAUAUAGAUUAGGGUGUGACUAACUUUCUUUCCACGUCCAUCCCUCUCUCUAAUUACAUACAUGCACUAGAGGACAAAAAAGCUGAUGUCAUCCUAGAUUCUCUCAUAUUUCAAAAAUUCAAAAUGUUUUGUAGCUUAAACCAUUGGUUCGAUGCAAAAACCGUUUUCACAUAAAAGAUUCGUCGCGAUGAGAUCUUCAAAACUAGAUCCCAUGUUGGUAUGUUCCGACUAAUCUUUUUUUCGGGUCAAAAGUUACCACGCCUCGGGUACAUUAGUUACCAAGCCUGUGGUAUGCAACUUACCGUGCUAUUUCCACAUAAGUUACAUGNNNNNNNNNNNNNNNNNNNNNNNNNNNNNNNNNNNNNNNNNNNNNNNNNNNNNNNNNNNNNNNNNNNNNNNNNNNNNNNNNNNNNNNNNNNNNNNNNNNNNNNNNNNNNNNNNNNNNNNNNNNNNNNNNNNNNNNNNNNNNNNNNNNNNNNNNNNNNNNNNNNNAAAAGUUACCGCAGGUAUUUGUACUUAACUUAGUAGGUACGUGGUUCAUAUAUUACCGUGCUAUUUUCACAUAAGUUAUCAGGAGAUGUUUCUCAAAAACUUUUUCCCCUCGGUUAAAAGUUUUUGCGGUAUUUGUACAUAAGUUAUAGGGUAUGCGGUUCGUAUUUACCAUAUUAUUUUCACAUUAGUUAUUGGGGUAUGCUCUUUCUCCCGGUCAAAAAAGUUACCGCGGUGUUUCUGGUAAGUUGUCGGGUAUGCGGUUCACAUACUACCGUGCUAUUUUCGCACAAGUUACCUCGGGGAUUGGAGUAUGUUUUUCAACAACUUUGUUUCCCGUUGGUCAAAAUUAUUGCGAUGUUUAUUCGUAAGUUAUCGGACAUGCAGUUCAUAUAUUACCGUGUUAUUUUCACAUAAAUUGUUUUCAACAACUUUUUUCUGCCGGUCUAAAAAGUUACCAUAAUAUUUGUACUAAGUUAUCAUGUAUGUGAUUUGUAUAUUAUCGUGCUAUUUCUACAUAAGUUUCUGAGGUUAUAUUCUUCAACAACUUUUUCUCCUGGUCAAAAAGUUACUGUGGUGUUUCUAUGUAAGUUAUCAAGUAUGUGUUUCGUAUAUUACCGUGUUAUUUUCACAUUAAUUAUCGAGAUAUGUUUUCAACAACUUUUUCCUCGCGGUCAAAAAGUUAAUUACCGAGGUGGUUGUACGUAAGUUAUCGGGUAAACGGGUCGCAUAUUAUCAUACUAUUUUCACAUAAGUUACCGGGGGUAUGUUUUCAACAACUUUUUAUUUCGAUCGGAAAAGUUACCGUAGUGUUUCUACGUAAGUUAUCGGGUAUGUGGUUCGUAUACUAUCAUGCUAUUUUGAUAUGUUUUUCAACAAUUUUCUUCCUUCUUGGUAAAAUUUACCAUUGUCUUUGUACGUAAUUUAUCGUGUAUGCAGUUCAUAUAUUACCGUGCUAUUUUCACAUAAGUUAUUGAUGUAUAUUUUUCAACAACUUUUUUCUCAUGGGUAAAAGUUAUCGAGGUAUUUGUGGAUAAGUUAUCACGCCCAUGGUGCAUAUGUUACCAUGUUAUUUACGCAGUAGUUACCGGGGGUAUAUUUUCAACAACUUGUUUCUUCCGGGCUAAAGGUCCCGCACGUGGGCUACAUAAGUUACCACACCUGUGACAUGUUAGUUAUCGUGAAAUUUUCACUAAAGUUACCAGGGGAAUGUUUUUCAACAAUUUUUCCCCUUUUGUCAAUGUUACCGCGGUGUUUGUAAGUGCUGUCAGAUCUACGGUCCGUAUAUUACCAUGCUAUUUACAUAGAAGUUACUCAGGGUAUGUUUUCAACAACCUUUCCUCUCGGGUCAAAUAUUUUCUCUCUAGUCAAAAAUUACCAUAAUGUUUGUAUGCAAGUUAUCACGUUUACAGUGUGUAUAUUAUCAUGUUAUUUACACAUAAGUUACCGGUUAUUGUUGAAUAAAUUUUUCCACGACUUUCUCAAGUUCCUACUAUAGAAAAAAAAACAAAAUAGUAUUCUUACAUGCAAUAGAAAUUAUUGCCCCAUGACUAAUUUGGUUUGUACAAGAAGAAUAUAUACAUCCCCCAUUGAAGAAAAAUACUUGCUCAGGUGGGUUUUUAACUACUUCUCCUCCUUUGUCAAAGUUAUCGUGAUGUUUAUACGUAAGUUAUCAGGUAGUUUUGAUGAACCACGUAUUACUCUCAUGUCUGUAUUGCCAUCCUAGCUCUAAACUAAUCUUCAGGCCACUUAGCAUCUGAAUCAAGGUAAAAGUGUAGAAGACCGGCUCUCGGUUUAUAUGCUCUAGAUACUGAACUCUGCACCGCCCAACACACAAAGUUGCUUCCUUUUCUAAACAAAAAAAAGCACAAAGUUCUUCCAAUUCCAACUGUCAUGGCACCAUCCAACAGUUCUUGCAACAAACAACAAUCUCGUGUUGUAGUACUAUCAGAGCAGAGCAAACUGUAAACUCGAAAAAGAGGCCUGGAAUCACAUGAUUAUAAAAAAGUGGCAACAAAAUCUAUGGAGACUAGCACCGCAAGGUUGCCAGCAGUAGUAAACAACAUCAAAGUUGUACAACUACCCUGCUGUCGGGCUCAUGCGCAUCUGCUCGUAGGAGGCACAUCAAGCUCCGGCCAUGGAUGGGAAUGGAGCCGAAGACGGGGACGUUACCUUGGCCGAUUGGCAACCAACAACGUAGGUGGAGGAGAUGCAGACGGGAGGGAUGGAGCUCCUUUGCUGAGCGGCCGGAAGUGUGGCUGAUGCAUGGUGGCAUCGUCUACCACGACAUCUCUGUGAUGGACGGCCGGUGAGGUUGCAGCAGGAUCCAUCUAUGACAAGAAGCAGGGCCGGGGCCAUCCACAACAAGCAGCGGGGGUAGCGGAUCUCGGCUCCCUUCUCCUUUUGACCGGGAAGCAAGGCAACGACUGACGGCUUUAGGUGGCUGCGGAUCUCGCCAGAAUCCGAAACCCGGAGGCCCUUGCGGCUGGGAAAGGAGGCGGAGGUGCCAGGGGCUAGCCGGCUAGGUGAUGAGUGAAGGCGUGCUGCGCCGGAGCCGGGGGUGUGAGGCGAGCGGCGGGGUCGAGGUUUGAGGCGUGUGGUGGAGGCGCAUUGGCCACUGGGGAAGAAGGUGGGGAAGGGAACGCCUCAUUGGAUUUGGAUCGAACGCCUCCCGAUGCGUGUGGCAGUUUUGCAAUCUGCCACACAGUUGCCAGAUACAUAUUUCGUAGAAAAAAAUAUAGAAAGACUAUAGGAAUGCAGAUAUAAAACAUAGGAUUGAAAAAUAGAGGAAAAGUGGAGGGAUAUGGAAUAAAUGGAACGUUUGAAAUGCAGGAACUUGAAACAAAGGGAUCCAUAAUGUGUAGAGAAACGAUGCAACGUUCCAAACUGGGCUAGACACAAGCCAUGCACCAAACUCACACAUGCUUUGUACUGUACUUGCACGAGCAAAUCAAACCAUGCUACAGUAGCAAAUCCUAUGGAUUGAGAUCUCCUACGUUUUCCUAUGAAAAAUCCUUCAAAUCAAAGGAGGCCUUAGAGAUUUGGGUCCAGCCUUGCUUAGCUAGCAAAGCUAGGUUAAAAAAAAGGGAGCUCCUGUUCGGCGCCCGAACAGGUAGCUCGGCUAACCACUAGAACUACCGAAGACUUGUGACUUGUUGUAACGUUCACUCUGUAAGAACAAGUGUGACCGUGCUAUUUACUAAUAACUCAGAUUUGUUUUAACGUGAAAUUGAAAACGUUCAUCGACUUCGUGACAAAAGUUCAUCAUUUUAGAAGAGAAGGCUCGCAAACUUUAAAAAACUUCACCACUCUUUAAGAAAAGUUCACAAACUUAAAGAAAGUUCAUCGAUUCUGAAAAAAGUUUAUGCAAAAGUGAAAAAGUUCAUCAAUUUUGAAAAAGAAAUCAUCAAUAUUGAAAAAGGUUCAUCGAGUUUGACAAAAAAGUUCAUCAAUUUUGAAAAUUAGUACACCGAUUUUGAAAAAGUUCACAAAUUUGAAGAAAAAAAGCAUCAAUUUUGAAAAAAAGUUCAUCGGAUUUGAAAAAAAGUUCAUCAGAUUUGAAAAAGGUUCAUUGAAUUUGAAAAAGUUCAUCAAUAUGAAGAGAAUGUUCACGAAUUUGAAAAGAAGUUCAUCGAAUUUGAUAAAAGUUCAUCAGAUUUUUAAAAGUUCAUCUAUUUGGGAAAAAUGUCGACGGAUUUGAAAAGUUCAUCGAACAAAGAGGAAGGAGUUUUUUUCCAGUUCAAACAAAGAAUAAAAAACAAAAGAAAAAAACCAUUUAGAAUAAGAAAAGGAUGAAAAAGAAAAAAAGAAAAAACGAAAUAGAAAAAAGGGAAAAAACUAAGAAGAAUACAUGGAAGAAGCACUACUUGAGCAGCUAACACUGGAUGGUGGAAUAGUUUGUGGAUCGAAUCCCAGUGACCUUGCCCCUUAUUUUUUUUGCUGUACAACGGAAAAAAAGGAAAAGAUGGGCCAAACCCAGCUAAAGCGGCUGCAGGCGUCCGCUAGCAGAAUAAACAAUAAAAAAUGCCAAAAGAAAAGGAGCUUGGCCCAGCUAAAGCGGCUGCAGGCGUCCGUUAGCAGAAUACAGAAAAAAAGGAAAAGAUGGGCCAAACCCAGCUAAAGCGACUGCAGGCGUCCGUUACCAGAAUACACGUUAAAAAUGCCAAAAGAAAAGGAGCUUGGCCCAGCUAAAGCGGCUGCAGGUGUCCGUUAGCAGAAUACACAUUAAAAAAUGCCAAAAAAAGGAAGCUCCUAUUCGGCGCCUGUCGGGGAUAUAGCCCGCGAUAUGACCCUGCCGGAAAUAUGACCCGGCCGGACUUGGCGGUUUACUUGAGACCCGGUUUACACUUGACAGUUCACUGGCGACCGGCCCUGACCAGACGGUUUACAAGCAACCUGCCUGAACAUUAUGACUCACUGGUAACCUGGUGGGUGAGACAGACGGAUGACAAGACCCAAGGCCAAGAAGGCCGGUUAUAUUAAUUGUGGGCAAGAGGAAAGGCGUGAAGAAUAUUUACCUUUACAAGGAGUUAAGACCCGGACUUGUAUCCAGUUUGUAUUAGAAGGUAGACUAGUCCUAAUCCUAAUAGGAGUCCACAUGUAACCCGCCCCUUCAACUUAUAUAAGGAGGGGCAGGGCUCCCAAAAGAGGGGGAAGCAAGAAGAAACAAUUUCUAGGGCUAGACACAAAGAGCCGGUUUACCGUCGACUCUCUCGUGAUGAUAAAGAGACCUAGCCACAAACAGCAUGUAGGGUUGUUACCGGAUGAUGUUUCCCGGGGCCCGAAGUUGUCUAAACCCUUGUCUUGCAUUGUGUCUCUCGAUUCCGCUCAACCCCUAUCAAGAUACCACAUAGAUGCGUUGGCCUGACGACUAAGUCCUCACACUAGGACAUCUGCCGUGUGAGGACAGAUGUUUCCCGGGGCCCGAAGCUGUCUAAACCCUUGUCUUGCAUUGCGUCUCUCGAUUCCGCUCAACCCCUAUCAAGAUACCACAUAGAUGCGUUGGCCUCACGACUAAGUCCUCACACUAGGACAUCUGCCGUGACAAUUUGAUACGUCUCCAAUGUAUCUAUAAUUUAUGAAGCAUUCAUGCUAUUUUAUUAUUUGUUUUGAAUGAUUACAGGCUUUAUUAUACACUUUUAUAUUACUUUUGGGACUAACCUAUUAACCGGAGGCCCAGCCCAUAUUGUUGUUUUAUUGCCUGUUUCAGUAUUUCGAAGAAAAGGAAUAUCAAACGGAGUCCAAACGGAAUGAAACCUUCGGGAGCGUGAUUUUUGGAAAUGAUAUGAUCCGGGAGACUUGGAGUUCAAGCUAGGGAAGGUUCGAGGAAGCCAAGAGAUAGGAGGGCGCGCCCACCCCCCCUUGGGCGCGCCCCCUGUCUCCUAGGCCCCUCGAGGCUCCCCCGGCCGACUUCUUUCGCCUAUAAGUCCAUGUACCCUAAAAACAUCGAAUACGAAGAUAGAUCGGGAGUUCCGCCGCCGCAAGCCUCUGUAGCCACAAAAAACCUCUCAGGAGCCCGUUCCGGCACCCUGCCGGAGGGGGGAUCCCUCACCGGUGGCCAUCUUCAUCAUCCCGGCGCUCUCCAUGACGAGCAGGGAGUAGUUCACCCUCGGGGCUGAGGGUAUGUACCAGUAGCUAUGUGUUUGAUCUCUCUCUCUCUCUCUCUCUCUCGUGUUCUCUUUAUGGCACGAUCUUGAUGUAUCGCGAGCUUUGCUAUUAUAGUUGGAUCUUAUGAUGUUUCUCCCCCUCUACUCUCUUGUGAUGAAUUGAGUUUUCCCUUUGAAGUUAUCUUAUCGGAUUGAGUCUUUAAGGAUUUGAGAACACUUGAUGUAUGUCUUGCCGUGCUUAUCUAUGGUGACAAUGGGAUAUCACGUGAUCCACUUGAUGUAUGUUUUGGUGAUAAACUUGCGGGUUCCUCCCAUGAACCUAUGCAUAGGGGUUGGCACACGUUUUCGUCUUGACUCUCCGGUAGAAACUUUGGGGCACUCUUUGAAGUACUUUUGUGUUGGUUGAAUAGAUGAAUCUGAGAUUGUGUGAUGCAUAUCAUAUAACCAUGCCCACGGAUACUUGAGGUGACAAUGGAGUAUCUAGGUGACAUUAGGGUUUUGGUUGAUUUGUAUCUUAAGGUGUUAUUCUAGUACGAACUCUUGAAUAAAUCGAUCCGAAAGAAUAACUUUGAGGUGGUUUUGUACCCUACCAUAAUCUCUUCGUUUGUUCUCCACUAUUAGUGGCUUUGGAGUGACUCUUUGUUGCAUGUUGAGGGAUUGUUAUAUGAUCUAUCUAUGUUAGUAUUUUUGGUAGUAUUUUUGGAGUUCCAGAAGUAUACGUUUGAUACAGAUUACUAAAGACUGUUCUGUUUUUGACAUAUUCUGUUUUCUAUGUGUUGUUUGCUUAUUUUGAUGAAUCUAUGAGUAGCAUCGAAGGGUAUGAACCAUAGAUAAGUUGGAAUACAGUAGGUUUAACACAAAUAUUAAUUUAAAAUGAGUUCAUUACAGUACCUAAGUGGUGGUUUUAUUUUCUUAUACUAACGGAGCUUACGAGUUUUCUGUUGAGUUUUGUGUUGUGAAGUUUUCAAGUUUUGGGUAAGGGUUCGAUGGACUAUGGAAUAAGGAGUGGCAAGAGCCUAAGCUUGGGGAUGCCCCAGAUGGCAUCCCCUCUUUCGUCUUCGUUCAUCGGUAACUUUACUUGGAGCUAUAUUUUUAUUCACCAUAUGAUAUGUGUUUUGCUUGGAGCAUCAUUUUAUUUUGUUAGUAUUUGCUUUAUGUUAUUUAUAAUAAUGUUUUGCAUCUAUAUUUUCAAUAAAAAUGUCAAGGAUAGCCUUUACCAUGCUUAUUUUGCUAGUAUACAUGUUGCUAUUUGAAAACAGAAAGUCUACCGCUUUUGCAUAAAUUCCCUAGAAAAGUCAGAGAAUGUUAUAGUGUUGAAACUUUUUGCAUAUUGAUCUAUGAUAAAUCUUCUACAGCGUAGUAUUUUUCUCAUAAUUUUUGGAGUUACGGAAGUAUGAUGAAUCUUGCAUUCUUUACAGACUAUACUGUUUUGGCAUAUUGUUGUUAUGUUUGCAUUGUUUGCAUAUGUUUGCUUGUUUAAUGAUUCUAUUUGAGGAUAGGAGUAUUAAAUAUGCAGAGACAUUUAGUAUACAAUGUGGAAUAAUAAUUUUAGUGAUUUGUUACAGUAGAAAAUGAUAAGGUUUUUGCAUUGGUUUAUACUAACCUAUCUCACGAGUUCUUGUUGAGUUUGGUGUGGAUGAAGCUUUUGAUAAAAAGAGAAACCAUGAUAUGAGAGGAAUUAAGGAGACACAAAAGUUCAAGCUUGGGGAUGCCCAAGGCACCCCAAGAUAAUAUUUCAAUAAGUCUCAAGCAUCUAAGCUUGGGGAUGCCCCGUUAGGCAUCCCACCUUUCUUUUUCAACAACUAUCGGUUAGUAUCGGUUGAGCCUAAGUUUUUGCUUCUUCACAUGAGUUGUGCUAUCCUUGCAAUGUCAUUUUAUUUUUCUUUGCUUGCUGUUUGAAUACAAUACCAAGAUCUGAAAUUCUUUAAUGAGAGAGAGUCUUCACAUAGUUACAUAAUUAUUUAGCUACUCAUUGAUCUUCACUUAUAUCUUUUUGGAGUAGUUUGUCAUUUACUCAUGUGCUUCACUUAUAUCCUACGAGUAAAUGGUUGAAUGAGUUGAAUGUCAUAAAUCUUAAAUUAUAUAUGUCUCAUUUUCUUAUCCCAUGGGGAGUAAUGACUUGACAUCUAAGAAGUAGAGGUUGUAAAUUUAUUGAAGGUUAGCAAGCAUUGUAUUGGUCAUUUGAACAAUUCAUGAAAGAAUAUUGAAGGAAGAGAGAUUUCACAUAUAAAUAUACUAUUCGAGACAUCUUUUAUAAUUGUGAGCACUCAUUAAGUAUGACAUGCUAAAGAGUUGAUGUUGGACAAGGAAGACAACGUAAUGGGUUAUGUUUUCUCACAUCUCAGUUAAAGUAUAUUGUCAUGGAUCAUUCAAACAUGUUGAGCUUGCCUUUCCCCCUCAUGCUAGCCAAAAAUCCUUGCACCAAGUAGAGAUACUACUUGUGCUUCCAAAUAUCCUUAAACCCAGUUUUGCCAUGAGAGUCCACCAUACCUACCUAUGGAUUGAGUAAGAUCCUUCAAGUAAGUUGUCAUCGGUGCAAGCAAUAAAAAUUGCUCUCUAAAUAUGUAUGAUCUAUUAGUGUGAAGAAAAUAAGCUUUAUACGAUCUUCUUAUGGAAGCAGUAAAAGCGGCGGACUGCAUAAUAAAGGUCCAUAUACAAGUGGCAAUAUAAAGUGACCUUCUUUUGCAUUAAGAUUUUGUGCAUCCAACCCUAAAAGCGCAUGACAACCUCUGCUUCCCUCUGCGAAGGGCCUAUCUUUUACUUUAUGUCUUUUACUUUAUGCAAGAAUCAAGGUGAUCUUCACCUUUCCUUUUUUUCAUUUUACCCUUUGGCAAGCACCUCGUGUUGGAAAGAUCCUGAUAUAUAUAUAUAUAUAUAUAUAUAUAUAUAUAUAUAUAUAUCCAAUUGGAUGUAACUUAGCAUGAACUAUUAUUGUUAACAUCACCCAAAGGUGAAUACGUUGGGAGGCAACACUAUUGAAAGUGCAUUAUAUUGAUUAGAGGGGGGUGAAUAGGCGAUUUUUAUGAAUUCUUCACCGAGGAAUUUGCUGGUGAGGAAAUUCCUAAAUGAAGAACUACAAGCAGCGGAAUAAGUACUCAAAUGUAAACAUAACAUAACACAAUCAUGGUCAUCAUGAUGGAAUGAAGACAAGCACAAAGUACAGAAAGCGUAAACACAGGAUAACACAGAAAGAAGACGGACAGACUGAAGAAAUUGAACUGAGGAAAUUGAGAAAGUCUCCAGUCAAAGUCUUCAAACAGAUAUGAACAAGCACACAACAAUCAGAAAUGAGGAAAUGAAAGAGUUGAGGAAAUAGAACUAGUAAGCUUGGUGAAGACAAUGAUUUGGUAGACCAGUUCCAACUGCUGUCUCAGUUGUACGUCUGGUUGGAGCGGAUGAGUAUUUAAGCUCGAGGACACACAGUCCCGGACACACAGUCCUCACCGUAUUCUCCUUGAGCUAAGGUCACACAGACCUCGCCCAAUCACUCGUGGUAAGUCUUUAGGUGACUUCCAAACCUUCACAGACUAGGUCACUCGGCGAUCCACAAUUCCUCUUGGAUGCUCUAGACCAUGACGCCUAACCGCCUGGAAGAAGCACAGUCUUCAAAGGUAACAAGCAUCGGAUCCAUGCAGGAUCAAUCUCUUCAGUGAUGCUCAAUCACUUUGGGUUUGUAGGUGUGUUGGGUUUGGGUUUUCCUCACUUGAUGAUUUUCGCUCAAAGUCCUCGGAGGAUGGGAUGCUCUCAAAUGACAAGUGUUGUUGACGAAUUUGAAGACCUAAAAAGAAUUUCAAUUCUCCCAUCAUAGACAUUUGAUAUUCUUCACUCAUCAUAUAGGCAAAUUCAUCACUGCAUCAUUGGUCAGUACAGCCAAAAAUGACAUCAUCAACAUAGAUUUGGCACACAAACAAUUCACCAUCAUAAGAUUUAGCGAAAAGACUUGGGUCGAGUGAACCGGGUUUGAAGCCUUUCUUCAUGAGGAAUUCCUUCAAAGUGUCAUACCACGCCCGAGGGGCCUGCUUGAGGCCAUACAGGGCCUUAUUGAGUCUGAAGACUUUGUCAGGAUGCUUUGGAUCUUCAAAACCUGGGGGUUGAGCAACAUAUACUUCUUCCUCAAGCUUACCAUUGAGGAAUGCAUUUUCACAUCCAAUUGUUGUAAGAUAAUAUCAUGAUGGUUAGCAUAAGCAAGUAAUAUGCGAAUAGCCUCAAGUCUAGCAACAGGUGCAAAAGUUUCAUCAAAGUAAAUUCCUUCAACAUGUGUGUAGCCUUGAGCUACAAGUCGUACCUUAUUCCUCACCACAAGGCCAUUUUCAUCUUGCUUGUUGCGGUUGAUCCACUUUGUGCCAAUAAUAUUGUGCUUGCGAGGAUCUGGACGUUUGACCAGUUCCCAGACGUUGUUGAGCUCGAACUGAUGUAAUUCUUCUUGCAUAGCAUGAAUCCACUCAGGCUCCAAAAAUGCUUCAUCUACCUUAGUGGGCUCUGUAAUAGAGACAAAAGCAAAGUGCCCACAAAAGUUAGAUAAAUGUGAAGAUUUUGAGCAUGUGAGAGGACCUGGUGCUUCAAUGUCAUCGAUGAUCUUCUCGAUUUGCACUUCGUUUGCAAUGCGAGGAUGAGCGGGUUGGCUUCGAGGAAUUUGAUCCGCAUUUUAUUCAGGAGCAUUUUCCUCAGCACCAUUUUCUUCAGGUGCGCCAGCUCGACGUUCAUCGCAUUCUAGAAUGAAUUCUUUAGCAGAUUCUUCAGUGGGAAUGACAUCCUCAGUAGCCUUGAACUUGAUCAGGUGCUGGUUCAUCUAACACAGAAGGUAGGUGCUCUCUUUGCGAGCCAUUAGUUUCAUCGAACCGCACAUCUACAGUUUCAACAACCUUGUGAAGAACGUUGAUGAAGACUUUGUAGGUGUGCGAGUCCUUUCCGUAACCAAGCAUAAAACCCUCAUGUGCUUUCGGUGCAAAUUUAGAAUUGUGAUGAGGAUCUCUAAUCCAACAUUUAGCACCGAAGAUUUUGAAGUAACUCACAUUGGGUUUCUUGUCAGUGAGGAGUUCAUAAUCAGUAUUCUUGAAGAAUUUGUGAACAUAUACUAUGUUGAUGAUGUGGCACCCAGUAUCAAUAGCCUCAAUCCAGAAAUGACUAGGUGUCUUGUAUUCAGCAAACAUAGUGCGAGCCAUCUCAACAAGAGUUCUAUUCUUGUGCUCCACGACGCCAUUCUGCUAAGGAGUAUAAGGGGAAAAUAACUCAUGAGUAAUACCAAGUUCAUCAAGAUAGUCAUCAAGACCGGAAUUCUUGAACUCAGUCCCAUUGUCACUUCUGAUGUGCUUGAUCUUCACACCAAAGUUGGUUGAAGCCCUCGAGGAAAAUCGUUUGAAGACUUCCUGCACCUCAUGUUUGUAAGUGACAAUGUGCACCCAUGUGUAACGAGAAUAAUCAUCAAAAAUAACAAAGCCAUAUAGAGAUGUAUCAUUUGUAACAGCAGAAUAAUGAUUAGGACCGAAGAGAUCCAUGUGAAGCAAUUCAAAUGGUCGAGUGGUAGUCAUGAUAGUCUUUGCUGGAUGCUUGGCCUUUGUCAUCUUUCCAGCUUCACAGGCUCCGCAUAAGUGAUCCUUGAUGAAUUUCACAUUCUCAAUGCCAAUGACAUGCUUCUUCUUCGCAAGCAUGUGCAAAUUCCUCAUGCCAGCAUGACCAAGUCGUCGAUGCCAUAGCCAGCCUUCUGAAGCUUUUGCAAGUAGGCAUACGGCCGAUUGUGGUCAUGUAGAGAAAUCAACAAUGUACAAGUCUCCUCUCCUAAAGCCUUCGAAGACUUUGGAAUUGUCAGCUUCCAUGAUCACACCGCAACGAUAUUUGCCAAAGACAACAACCAUAUCAAGAUCACAAAGCAUUGAGACAGACAUGAGGUUGUAUCCUAAGGACUCGACAAGCAUGACUUUGUCCAUGUGUCGAUCCUUCGAGAUCGCAACCUUACCUAGACCCAAUACCUGACUUUUGCCUUUGUCAGCGAAGAUGAUAUGCUUCAGAUGUGACGGUGAUAAAGGAGCAUCCAUCAAUAGAUUCUUGUCACCCGUCAUGUGAUUCGUACAUCCACUAUCGAGGACCCACUCAUUGGCUUUGGGUUGAUCAUCCUGCAGAUGACUUAGUGCAACUUACGAACUCAUAUUGUUCAUUAGUGAAGAAUAUGACAUCAAUUUCAUCAGAUCAAUUUCAUCAAACAAUAGAACAGAUAAGCAGUAUGAGGACGUGUGAAAUGAGAGUUCAUUUCAUCAUGAUUAGCCUGCAUCAUUUUAGGCACUGUUCAGGUCUCCAGCAAAUUCCUCAGACGUUUUAAGCACGUCUGGAGACCUGACCCUACAUAAGAGAUUAGUUCAUUUUCUUCACCACCCACAUCUGAAGGGGUGGCAAAGAAUUCAUCACUCUACGAGCACCAUAUGAGAAAGGUGGCAUAGAAGUCAGUCUACUUCGUUUCACAUAAGAGGGGUUAGGGUAAGUUUAUGAAUAAGCAGAGAAAUUCUUCGAGGACUUAUAAACAUAAUGAUUAGAAGAAUAAUGCUCAUAUUCAUAGCCCUUAGCUCUACCCUGCGAAAUAGAGGGGUUAGCACGAUGAUGAUCAUGUGAGGACUUUGAUCCUUUUGAAGAAUUUGAUCCACGUGAGGAAUUGGACCCAUAUGAAGAAUUUGGUCCAUAUGAAGAAUUUGAUCAAGAGUUCCUAUUCUUCAUAGGUGGUGUCAUGAGGACAUUCACGUGAAGACUUUCAAGGAAACUUUUGGGAACCCAGAUUUUCUUCAUAGGGGAACCGUUCCUCUAGUUAGUGCCAACAUAUCUAGCAAAUACUUCACCAUUCUAAUUUUUGAACAGUUUAUAGUUGGAGUCAAAUGACUCAUCAGAAGAAUGAGGAGAUUCACAUGUAAAGCCAGAUAAAUUGGAUGGAUCAACUGGAGGUCCCUUUGCAACAACCCAUGAGAUUUUGGGGUACUGCUCAGGCUUCCAAUAUGUUCCAUCAGUAUUGAAUUUCCUCUCAAAGGCAAUACCCUCUUUCCUAGGGUUCCUAUUGAGGAUCUGCUUUUUGAGCACAUCACAAAGAGUCUGAUGCCCUUUGAGGCUUUUGUACAUGCCUGUCAUAUACAAUUCCUUCAGCCCUGCAUCAUCAGUGAUACUAGCAAUGUCCUCAGAUGAGGAAUUAGUGAUAGCAGAAACAGAUGAAGAAUUUGUAGCAUUAGAAGCAUUUGAACAUUCAGGUGAAGAAUUAGCAGUUUCACGUUCAAUGCACUUCAGACAUGGAAGAACAAAUUCUUCCUGAGUAGCGCUGAUUUGUUGAGCAAGUAAUGAAUCACGCUCCUUCUGAAGAUCUUCAUAAUCCACUCUUAGCUUUUCAAGAUCUUGCUUUCUUUGAAGAAAUUCAUAAGAAAGCUUCUCGUGAUCAGAUAAGAGAGUGUUAUGAUGACCUUGAAGGUUGUCAAACUUGUACUGAAGUCUUUGAAGAUUUUCAGUCAAGGUUUUAGUGCGAUCCAUUUCUUCACCCAACAUAUCAUCACUUUUAUCUAGCAUGUUUUGAACCUUUUCAAAAGCCUUUUGUUGUUUCACAGCAAUCUUAGCAUGUUUAGAGUAGCUGGACUUGAGGUUUUCAUCAGAUUCAUCAUCACUAGAUUCAGAGGAGGCGUAUUUAGUUACCUUGGCACCCUUUGCCAUGAAGCAAUAGGUGGGAGCAUAGUCAUCAUUGCCUUCAUCAGCCUUGUUGGUGAAGCCAUUUUCUUCAGAGUUGAAGAUAGACUUCCUGACGAAUGCAGUAGCGAGAGCUAGGCUCGCCACACCAAACUCGGACUCCUCAGAUGCCUCCUCGUCUCAUGUUCCUUGGAUUCAGCCUCAGAGUCCAUUUCCUUGCCAAUUAAUGUCCGAGCCUUCUUGGAGACGCUCUUCUUGUGAGAUGAAGACUUCGAGGAUUUUGAUGAUGAAGACUUUGAAGAUUUCUUCUUCUUCUUAGCGUCAUCAGAACUGUAGUCCUUGUAUUUCUUCUUCUUUGAUCUUAUCCCACUUAGGACAAUCUUGGAUGUAGUGACCAGGUUUCUUGCAUUUGUGGCAAAGCCUCUUCUUGUAGUCACUGGAUGAGGAAUAAUUGCUCCUUGAGGAUUUUCCAAAGUGACCACGUCUUGAGAACUUCUGAAAUUUCUUCACGAGCAGUGCUAGUCCCUGGCUCAGUUCUUCAGGAUCACCAAGGCUGCUAGCAGAGUCCUCAUCUUCAGACUCAGAGACUGUCUUGGCCUUCAGAGCACGUGAUCUGCCAUAGCUCGAACCAUAGAGAUCUCUCUUCUCAGCAAGCCGGAACUCAUGAGUAUUUAGCCUCUCGAGGAUAUCAGCGGGAUCAAGUGACUUGUAAUCAGCAUGUUCUUGAAGCAUCAGUGUCAGACUAUCAAAUGAAGAAUUUAGCAAUCUCAGCAAUUUCUUCACCACCUCAAGGUCGGUGAUGUCAGUGGCGCCAAGCGCUUGAAGCUCAUUUGAGAUGUCAGUGAGGCGAUUGAAGGUUUGCUGAACAUUUUCAUUGUCGAGUCUGUUGAAGCAGUUGAAGAGAUUGCGAAGAAUGUCAACAUGAGAGUCAUGUUGAGUUGAGACUCCUUCAUUCACUUUGGACAGCCUAUCCCAGAUAAGCUUAGCAGUUUCCAAAGCACUCACUCUUCGGUACUGCCCUUUGCUCAGAUGGCCACAUAUGAUAUUCUUCGCUUGAGAAUCGAGCUGCUUGAAUCUCUUCACAUCAGUAGCGUUCAGAGAUGGUGUGACUGAGGGAACACCAUUUUCCACAACAUACCAGAGAUCGUUAUCAAUUGCCUCAAGAUGCAUUCGCAUCUUAUUCUUUCAGUAGGGGUAGUCCGAUCCAUCGAAGGUAGGACACCCAACAGAGACCUUGAUCAUACCUGCGGUCGACAUAACUAAAACUCCAGGCGGUUAAACCAAAAUCACACAGAACAAGGGAGUACCUUGCUCUGAUACCAAUUGAAAGUGCGUUAUAUCGACUAGAGGGGGGGUGAAUAGGUGAUUUUUAUGAAUUUUUCACUGAGGAAUUUGCUGGUGAGGAAAUUCCUAAAUGAAGAACUACAAGCAGUGGAAUAAGUACUCAAAUGUAAACAUAACAGAACACAAGCAUGGUCAUCAUGAUGGAAUGAAGACAAGCACAGAGUACAGAAAGCAUAAACACAGGAUAACACAGAAAGAAGACAAACAUACUAAAGAAAUUGAACUGAGGAAAUUGAGAAAGUCUUCAGUCAAAGUCUUCAAACAGAUAUGAACAAGCACACAACAAUCAGAAAUGAGGAAAUGAAAGAGUUGAGGAAAUAGAACCAGUAAGCUUGGUGAAGACAAUGAUUUGGUAGACCACUUCCAACUGUUGUAUCAGUUGUACAUCUGGUUGGAGCGGCUGAGUAUUUAAACUUGAGGACACACAGUCCCGGACACACAGUCCUCACCGUAUUCUCCUUGAGCUAAGGUCACACAGACCUCGCCCAAUCACUCGUGGUAAGUCUUUAGGUGAAUUCCAAACCUUCACAGACUAGGUCACUCAGCGAUCCACAAUUCCUCUUGGAUGCUCUAGACCAUGACGCCUAACCGUCUGGAAGAAGCACAAUCUUCAAAGGUAACAAGCUUCGGAUCCACGCAAGAUCAAUCUCUUCAGUGAUGCUCAAUCACUUUGGGUUUGUAGGUGUGUUGGGUUUGGGUUUUCCUCACUUGAUGAUUUUCGCUCAAAGUCCUCGGAGGAUGGGAUGCUCUCAAAUGACAAGUGCCAGUUUCUCUUGGAGCAGCCAACCAGCUAGUGGUUGUAGGGGGGCAGCUAUUUAUAGCCUAGGGAGCAGCCCGACAUGAUAAGACAUAAAUGCCCUUCAAUGAUAUGACCGUUAGGUGGGUAGAUAUUUUGGGACAGCUGGCGCAUAGCACAACAACGGUCGGAAAUUUGACUCUCAAAUUCCUCAGGGCUAUCAUGUUCCUCACUGUGUAGGCAAUCCGCACUGGCGAAUUCCUAACUCCUCAGUCAGAACAAAUUUCUCAGAGACCAGAAGAACUUUGUCUCUGUCACUGAAGAAUAUGACUGAACUGUAUGAGAUUUCCAAUGGCUUCACUCAAAGGGAUUGGUAGGUGUAGGAUUUUGAGUUGAGCAUCACUUGGAAAUUUUUCCUUAGUAUUUCCUCGACCCCCUUUAAUAGUACGGUGUUGCCUAUGACUCAAGAAAGAGAAAAUGAAACUACGAAAACAAAAGUCUUCACGCUUCAUGUUCCUCGAAUGAUUACCAAGUCUUCAAGGUCACACCAAUUUCUUCACUUUCAAAGUCUUCAGAAAGUCUUCAGAAAGUCUUCAGAAAUACAAAGUCUUCAGUUGAAGAUCUUAAUUUUUAGGGGUCGACUUUCUUUGUAAAUAUCAAACUCCUCAUAGAAUUAUAGACCUGUGUACACUCACAAACGCAUCGGUCCGUUAACCUAUAAGUCUUCAAUACACCAAAAUCACUAAGGGGCACUAGAUGCACUUACAACUAUAAGCCCCUAUCUUUCUCAGUGUCCGAUUAAAACUCCAUAACCAUUAGUAUGCGUGAGUGUUAGCAAUUGUGGAAGACUAUAUGAUAGUUGAGUAUGUGGAGUUUGCUAAAUCAAAGCUCUGACAUAGACCCUUCCUGAAAAUAAGAUGAAUUGUAAUUGUUUGAUGACUGAGAAUGAAGUUUGCUAGUUUUCAAGAAAGUUUAUGGUCUAUGCUUUAACAUGUGAAUUGCGUGUUGCUUGUUCGUGAGAAGUUUUAUGAGAUGAACUACUGUUAUGACAUAUAAUCAUGCUAGAAAAGGUGAUUGAAAUUAUCAUUGAUCAAACUUCUGCACCUUCUAGCAUUCACACUUCAUAAAAUUCUUUCUUUUAUCAUUUACCUAGUCGAGGACGAGCAGGAAUUAAGCUUGGGGAUGCUGAUACGUCUCCAAUGUAUCUAUAAUUUAUGAAGCAUUCAUGCUAUUUUAUUAUUUGUUUUGAAUGAUUAUGGGCUUUAUUAUACACUUUUAUAUUACUUUUGGGACUAACCUAUUAACUAGAGGCCCAGCCCAUAUUGCUGUUUUAUUGCCUGUUUCAGUAUUUCGAAGAAAAUGAAUAUCGAACGUAGUCCAAACAGAAUGACACCUUCGGAAGCGUGAUUUUUGGAAAGGAUAUGAUCCGGGAGACUUGGAGUUCAAGCCAGGGAAGGUUCAAGGAAGCCAGGAGAUAGGAGGGCGCGCCCACCCCCCUUGGGCGCGUCCCCUGUCUCCUGGGCCCCUCGAGGCUCCCCCGACCGACUUCUUUCGCCUAUAUAAGUCCACGUACCGUAAAAACAUCGAAUACGAAGAUAGAUCGGGAGUUCCGCUGUAGCCACCAAAAACCUCUCGGGAGCCCGUUCCGGCACCCUGGCGGAGGGGGGAUCCCUCACCGGUGGCCAUCUUCAACAUCCUGGUGCUCUCCGUGAUGAGGAGGGAGUAGUUCACCCUCGAGGCUGAGGGUAUGUACCAGUAGCUAUGUGUUUGAUCUCUCUCUCUCCCUCUCUCUCUCUCUCUCUCUCUCUCUCGUGUUCUCUCUAUAGCACGAUCUUGAUGUAUCACGAGAUUUGCUAUUAUAGUUGGAUCUUAUGAUGUUUCUCCCCCUCUACUCUCUUGUGAUGAAUUGAGUUUUCCCUUUGAAGUUAUCUUAUCGGAUUGAGUCUUUAAGGAUUUGAGAACACUUGAUUUAUGUCUUGUUGUGCUUAUCUGUGGUGACAAUGGGAUAUCAUGUGAUCCACUUGAUGUAUGUUUUGGUGAUCAACUUGCGGGUUCCGCCCAUGAACCUAUGCAUAGGAGUUGGCACACGUUUUCGUCUUGACUCUCCGGUAGAAACUUUGGGGCGCUCUUUGAAGUAAUUUUGUGUUGGUUGAAUAGAUGAAUCUGAGAUUGUGUGAUGCAUAUCGUAUAAUCAUACCCACGGAUACUUGAGGUGACAAUGGAGUAUCUAGGUGACAUUAGGGUUUUGGUUGAUUUGUGUCUUAAGGUGUUAUUCUAGUACGAACUCUUGAAUAGAUCGAUCUGAAAGAAUAACUUUGAGCUGGUUUCGUACCCUACCAUAAUCUCUUCAUUUGUUCUCCGCUAUUAGUGGCUUUGGACUGACUCUUUGUUGCAUGUUGAGGGAUUGUUAUAUGAUCUAUCUAUGUUAUUAUUGUUGAGAGAACUUGCACUAGUGAAAUUAUGAACCCUAGGCCUUGUUUGCUAUCGUUGCAAUACCAUUUACGCUCACUUUUAUCAUUAGUUACCUUGCUGUUUUUAUAAUUUCAGAUUACAAAAACCCAUAUCUACUAUCCAUAUUGCACUUGUAUCACCAUAUCUUCGCCGAACUAGUGCACCUAUACAAUUUACCAUUGUAUUGGGUGUGUUGGGGACACAAGAGACUCUUUGUUAUUUGGUUGCAGGGUUGCUUGAGAGAGACCAUCUUCAUCCUACGCCUCCCACGGAUUGAUAAACCUUAGGUCAUCCACUUGAGGGAAAUUUGCUAUUGUCCUACAAACCUCUAUACUUGGAGGCCCAACAACGUCUACAAGAAGGUGUAGUAGACAUCACAAUUCCAUGACAGUUGGCGCCCACCGUGGUGCUCGCGCACGGUGAUGAUGAGUUCUUGAAGGGAUCUAUCUCAGAGAUCGAGAAGAUUGUAAAAUUCGUCAGAUGGAGAAAGAGCCGGCAAAGUUCAUUGAGUUAUGAUCAUAGUCAUGAUUAAAGUUUGAAACAUCAGGCACGAGAUUGAGAUCAAGAGUUAGGGUGGCGUCUGGGAUCCAUUUAAUCUAAUAGCAACCAAUUGUCACUGCUGCACCGCCUACGAAGUUUCAAGAUUUUCUGCGACUUGGUCCGAGGCUGAGUGGAAUCUGUUUGAGUUAAAUCGGCUUGGUCUGCUAGACGUUGUUUACGCGUAUCUGCGCAGUCUCACGCGCGCCUGACCGCGGCUACAUAUUCCAUGGAUAAUCUGCUGGGUCAAGGACCGAGGAAACCAAUACUAAUCAAGAAAAACUGCGAGGCUACUAUGUUGUUACCCUGAACAGAUCACCGAAACGAUUGAAAUUAGGGAUGUGGAGGUUUGUGUUCAUGUGCUAAUACUAUGACCCGGAAACGAAGGUUAGUCAAAGCAACCACGACUCGAAAACGAAGCCGGCCACGAUCCAGAUUCCUCCUGUGCCCGCGACCUCGUUUCGAGGCGCCCGCCUCCGCUGCCUCGCGUACGCCUCGGCGGUUUCCGAGCCGUCGCCGUUCUUCACACCGCGGCUUACCUCUGGCGCUUAGACCGACCUACUUCACUACGACUGCGCCAAGCCAGUCCCGCUACUGCGGUUGAGCCGCCCCCGCGACAAACCGUCGGUCCUCUGACCGCGGUCCGCCCCUCCGUCGCGGACUCGCCGGGGCCCUCUGAGCUGCCGCCUCCAAAGUCGCCAUAGCCUGACGCCACUUCGACCGCAGUACACUCCAGUGGCUGCGACCGGCUCUCUCUGCUCCGCGUCCCGCGAUGGUCAGGUAGCACGCUGCCGCUUCCACACGCCUGCGCAGCCCAGCGCAUCGCUGCUUGCUGCACCGGACUCUGUCCCCAUUUACCUCUGCUGAGCCGCCGUGCCCGCGUCUAAAUUGUCUGCACAAGCCGUCUUUGAGCGAUCCUGCUGCAGCUGUUUACCCAAAAAAAGGGGGGCGCUGCCUGACCACUGUCCCGUGUCUCCAUGGCAGUUGCUUUCCAAAGGCCUGCUACUAGUGCUAAUUGAAACGGAAUUACAAUGGCGCAAUCUCCUAGAAGGACCAUCAUCCAUCACGUGAAAGACAAGACUAGUCAAACUGAUGAGUCAAUUACUCCUUUACUGCUACACAGCAACGACGGUAGGCUUGUUGUGGUGAGACGCCGUUCCUGCACGACGGUGUCCGAUGAAUGCGUGAAGGGCCCACAGUUUGCAGUCCAACAUGCGUUGACACUGGAGACCGUGCAAGCAUCUGUACCAUGCCAGGCUACCAGAAAAUUCAUCCAACACUAGCAUCCUUGUUUAUUUGACAAAAAUAACAGGUGCUAUCUAUCCUAUCUAGUUUUCACACAUAUUGUUUUCAUCAAAGAACAAUUACUUGGUCUAUGAUAUUUUUUCGCAGGACCAGUAUUCUUUAAAAAGGUGUCGCAUAAAGGGUGCAUGCCAGCAUUAUUUGUGCAAGUCGCCGCCCCCGCUACAUCUGCACGCAUGACUGACUCAUCGUCUGCGUCCAUGUUUGUCUCGCCCGAGUCCGGGCCGUUUCCAACGCCGUGGCUGUCUCUUGUGACCGCACCAGUUUACAACGCCACGGACGACUCGCUCGUCCGCUCUCGCGGCCGGUUCACGCGUCCGUGUCGGGUUACAACAAGGAGGACAACUUGCUCGUCUGCACCGGCUUAUAUAUCGCGACCGGAUCAUCAAUAUCAUGGCGGAUAAUUUCCAGCUAAACAUAUCAGGUUAAAUCCAUCUAGUCAAUUUUUUAUUGAUACAUUUUUAUGAUUUCGAGAACAAUUACUCUCACCUGCAAUACCUUUUAUGCAGGAUAAUUAGUCACGACAAAAGUGGCUCAUACCAUGGGUACGGCGCACGUACUAGCAACAUCCUGCCCGGUGUUCGUCCAUGCCAUGUUACACGGUGAAUGGAUGCGUGCAAGACGCCAUCUUCACGACACGGUUUACAUCAGCUUGCUGGGACCGCGCCUGCGAUUAACUCGCUCGUCCAUGCCAGCUUACAAUGUCGCGGCCGAAUCAUCUGUCCGAGCUGCCUCUGAAGUCGCGGUCGUCUUUGUCGUCUGUCUCUCGCGGCCUGGACUACAUCAACAUACUGGGCUGCACCUGUGUGCAUGAGCUGUUAAUUGAGUAUGAGCAAGUCACAGCUUGGGUAGCCCGGUUUUCUUUCAACAAAAUGGAGGCAGAUUAUCAUAUACUAUCAACCGCGGUCUGCACUGAGUGGCUCAAAGGGCAAGUGCACAAGUCACCACCAUUACAGUUUGGUUAACUUCAAAUCGCCAGUUGGAAAGAACCAUUGGCCGAGUUGCUGACAUGGCUCAUAUGGGACCAUUUGUAACUCGUCACAGUCACCUCAACAUUCUGUGGAUUCACAUCGCGUUAUCAACACCAAUGAUAUACGCCUUCUGCUAUGGUCAAAUAUGGAGAAUCUCAAAGACAACUCCUCGAGCCGCCUUGAGACUCGGGGGCUACAUGGACAUGACUCAACAAAUCUUGCCGGUUUCAGCAAAUUUAAGAACCCCAGGACGAUGGAGGGAAAGAUAACCCGGUCCCGGAGGCUACUGUUAUAUUGAUGAAAAUUUAAAGGCCGUCGGACAAUUUCCGGCUUGUUACAAAAUCCCGGCUCAAUGAAGAAGUUCCGGGUCAUCGGAAAGGAUUCCGGUUUAAAAUCCGGCUCAAGGGAAGUUAGUGUCGCUGAAGCUCUCAAAUAUCCGGUUUACAAUCCGGUUCAAGGGAAAUCUGUCUCCCACAAAGCUAUGAAGCUCUCAAUCCGGUUUAAUAAUUUCCAUUUCAAAAAGAAUUAAUUUCUCGCAAGUUCGAGUUUAAAGGCCGUCAGAAAAAUUCCGGCUAAAAAUGAAGGUUCCGGUUUAAAAUCUGGUUCAAGGGAAAGAUGUCUUCCACAAAACUUUGAAGCUCUCAAUAUCCGGAUUAACAUCCGAUUCAAGAAGAAAUAUCUCUCGCAAAGUUCGAGUUCUCAGAAAAAUCACUUGUGGGCUUGGUCGUAUUCGAACCAUAGCUGCACCUCUUGAUCGGUGUAAGGCCAGUAGGGAAAUUAUUUAGGGGCCAAAGAGAGUGUUGCAAAGGCACAACUCAAACAUAGGCACCCGCUGAGCACAGCUCAAAAUAUUGCUUGGGGGCUCUUUGCUUCUCAAAGAACAAAGAGUCUACACUUGUAAUAGGCUAUCAAGCCAGGCUUGGAAGCCAGGCGUAUUCACCUAAAACCCCGGGUUAUCCUGCACUUUUUAAGUAAGCCACUCCAUCCAGGUAAACCUGGUAUGACCUGCCGAACGUUUGACAAGUCAAUCUCAUAGACCCUGAACUUGUCAAAGUUAAAACGACGAUUGGUUAAUGAUUGAGGUCCAUCUUAAAAGGCUUUGUAAAAUGGUUUAACUCAGUGGCCUGGAAGCCCAUGAAAAGCCUCGAUUUUGGGCCUGGCAGCCCAUGAAAAGCCUCGCGUGUUUCUUUUUAUGCUGUUAUUUGCCAAGUUUCUUCUUUGUUGAGAUUUAUAACAUUUUAUGGUAAACCGGCGUUCAUUGACCCGGCUUGUCUUUCAACAAGUUGUUAGUACAUGAUCAAUUAUAAUCCGGUGCUUAUUGACCCGGUCUGAUUUCGACUACAAGUCACCAGUAUUAUAUAUGGAUAAACCGAUGUUUAUUACAACCCGGUAUGGUUUUAUCAUAAACCGGCAAAUAUGGAAGGAGUUAUCAUUACUCAAGAUUGGGGUAUUACCCUUAUUACACAAGUUGGUAAACCAACGAUGUGAUCCAACGUCCCAGGUACGGUUUUAUCAUAAACCACCAGGUAUCAUCUAUUUUAUAUUUUAUUAUUUUCAAAUACAGCCUUGGUUAUAAACCGUGGCUAUACAUUUGGGCAUCAUGACCCGUCCAGCGGUAAACCACUAGGACAGUUUCUACUUCUUGUAUGCAGAAACAGGUUGAAUAAAGCAUAAUUAUAAAUCACCGGUACUUAUUAACCCGGCCUGGUUUUAAGAUGAUAAGUCGCCAGUAUAUGAUGAGAAAUUAUUCGGUGUUUGUUAACCCGGCCUGGCUUUGGACUAUAAGUCGCCAGUAUAUAUUUGGAUUGCGCCAUUGGAAUCAUGCGCUUAUAAAUCAUUGGUAUAUUAUUCAAAUCUUUAAUAGCCAAAAUGGAUGGAUUUUUAUUAUGGUUAUCAAUAACCAGUAUUAUGAUUAAGGUUUUCAAAGUCGCUUUAGCGCAAUGGCUAUCAUAUUAUCAAUGGAUAUGAUUUAUUCUACAAUUGAAGGAAUAGUCCCGAGUUGCUGCGGGCUUACGACCCGGCACUUGGGGGCUACAUUAUUUAAAGUUGAAAUUACAUCAAAUAUGCAAGUCUCAUGUCGUUGCAAGCAUGCACCAUGACACUUGGGGGCUAAUGCAAAGUCAUUUUUUGCUCAUCUUAUUGAAGACCCGACUCAUCACAUUAUAAUGAGUCGGCCCUUGGGGGCUACCAAUUGCUCCUGUCAACAAUUCAAGGUACACAAGUCUUAAAACCAUUAUAUUGAAAGGUCCAUUGCUCAGUUGGUAAAGCACAAAGCUCUUAACCUUGUGGACAUGGGUUCAAAGACCAUGGUGGAAUUACAUCAUAUGAUGUUAUUUUCAAUGAAGCAUGAUCAUAUUUAUAAAGUCCCUGCUCAUUUUUGCAUAAUGACCCGGCCCUUGGGGGCUACACUGGUUGAAGUUUUUUGAGCAUCGGGCAAUUACAAGUCCCAGGUUGCUGCAAACAUGACAACCCGGCACUUGGGGGAUACAUAAUAUGGAGCAUUCAGUUUUUACUAGUGACUGGGAUGAACAACAUGGAUUUCUUCAAAAGUGGCAGUAUUUAUAUUGAAGCAAGUCUUAAGCCAUCACUUUGUUUUGCUCAAGACUUGGGGGCUACGGGUAUUAUAUUAUUAUGGAAGAAAUAUUUUCAAAUUCUCUAUUUUGAGAAAAUCAGAUUGACCCGGCGUCAUCAAUAAUCAUGAACCGGCGUUGGCAACAAUCAUAAACCGGCAUUGGCAACAACCAUGAACCGGCGUUGGCAACAAUCAUGACUCGGAAUUUUCAGUUUUUAUAACCCGACAAUGGUACUAAUCAUAAACCGGCAAGUUCUACAUCUUCAAGCCAGCUGGAUAUCAGUUGAAUAUGACAGAGACCAAUAUUUUUGUCAAGUCAGAGCAUUGAAGGCCAACUCAAAUGGGUUCUUGAUUUACAAUAUUUCUUAUGCAAGCAAGUUGAUUAUGAAGCUGGUCUGUUAACCUGGAAUUUCUAGAAGAAGAAAAGGACAAGGACUUACGGAUGUUCAGGUGCCAGUUUACAAGAAUUCUUAACCAGGAGCACAACCUGUCAAAUUUGUUCUUGUGUUUAUUUUGCAGCAUAAGUUUACCAUGGAUAAAUCCAAGCUAAAAUAGGGGUUAAUGUCGGGGAUAUACCCCGCGAUAUGACCCGGCCAGAAAUAUGACCCGGACGGACUUGGCGGUUUACUUGAGACCCGGUUUACACUUGGUGAUUCACUAGCGACCCGCCCUAAUCAGACGGUUUACAAGAAACCUGCCUGAACAUUAUGACUCACUGGUAACCCGGCGGGCGGGACAGACGGAUGACAAGGCCCAAGGCCCAGAAGGCCGGUUUAUAUUAAUGGUGGGCCGGUUUAAGAGGAAAGGCGUGAAGAAUAUUUACCUUUACAAGGAGUUAAGACACAGACUUGUAUCCGGUUUGUAUUAGAAGGUAGACUAGUCCUAAUCCUAAUGGGAGUCCACAUGUAACCCGCCCCUUCAACAUAUAUAAGGAGGGGCAGGGCUCCUGUAAGUGCAUCUAGUGCCCCUUAGUGAUUUUGGUGUAUUGAAGACUUAUAGGUUAAGGGACUGAUGCGUUUGUGAGUGUACACAGGUCUAUAAGUCUAUGAGGAGUUUGAUAUUUAUAGAGAAAGUCGACCCCUAAAAAUGAAGUUCUUCCACUAAAGACUUUGGAUUUUUGAAGACUUUUUGAAGACUUUGAAGGUGAAGAAAUUGGUGUGACCUUGAAGACUUGGCAAUCAUUCGAGGAACAUGAAGCAUGAAGACUUUUGUUUUUAUAGUUUCAUUUUCUCUUUCUUGAGUCAUAGGAAACACUGUACUGUUAAAGGGGGUCGAGGAAAUACUAAGGAAAAAUUUCCAUGUGAUGCUCAACUCAAAAUCCUACACCUACCAAUCCCUUCGAGUGAAGCCAUUAGAAAUCUCAUACAGUUCAGUCAUAUUCUUCAGUGAUAGAGACGAAGUUCUUCUGGUCUCUGAGGAAUUUGUUCUGACUGAGGAGUUAGGAAUUCACCAGUGUGAAUUGUCUACACAGUGAGGAACAUGAUAGCCCUGAGGUAUUUGAGAGUCAAAUAUUCCGACCAUUGCUGUGCUAUGCGCCAGCUGUCCCAAAAUAUCAACCCACCUAACGGUCAUAUCAGACAAGGGCAUUUAUGUCUUAUCAUGUCGGGUUGCUCCCUAGGCUAUAAAUAGCCGCCCCCUACAACCACUAGCUGGUUGGCUGCUCCAAGAGAAACUGACACUUGUCAACUGAGAGCAACCCAUCCUCCGAGGACUUUGAGCGAAAAUCAUCAAGUGAGGAAAACGCAAACCCAACACCUACAAACCCAAAGUGAUUGAGCAUCACUAAAGAGAUUGAUCCUGCGUGGAUCCGACGCUUGUUUCCUUUGAAGACUGUGCUUCUUCCAGACAGUUAGGCGUCAAGGUCUAGAGCAUCCAAGAGGAAUUGUGGAUCGCCGAGUGACCGAGUUUGUGAAGGUUCGGAAGUCACCUGAAGACUUACCACGAGUGAUUGGGCGAGGUCUGUGUGACCUUAGCUCAAGGAGAAUACGGUGAGGACUGUGUGUCCGGGACUGGGUGUCCUCGAGUUUGAAUACUCAGCCACUCCAACCAGAUGUACAACUGAGACAGCAGUUGGAACUGGUCUACCAAAUCAUUGUCUUCACCGAGCUAACUGGUUCUAUCUCCUCAACUCUUUCAUUUCCUCAUGUAUGUUGUUGUGUGCUUGUUCAUAUCUGUUUGAAGACAUUGACUGAAGACUUUCUCAAUUUCCUCAGUUCUAUUUCUUCAGUUUGUCCGUCUUCUUCCUCGUGUUAUCCUGUGUUUAUGCUUUUUGUACUGUGUGCUUGUCUUCAUUUCAUCAUGAUGACUAUGCUUGUGUUCUGUUUGAAGACUUUGACUGAAGAUUUUCUCAAUUUCCUCAGUUCAAUUUCUUCAGUCUGUCCGUCUUCUUUCUGUGUUAUCAUGUGUUUACGCUUUCUGUACUUUGUGCUUGUCUUCAUUCCAUCAUGAUGACCAUGCUUGUGUUAUGUUAUGUUUACAUUUGAGUACUUAUUCCACUGCUUGUAGUUCUUCAUUUAGGAAUUUCCUCACCAGCAAAUUCCUCAGUGAAGAAUUCAUAAAAAUCGCCUAUUCACCCCCCCUCUAGUCGAUAUAACGCACUUUCAAUUGGUAUCAGAGCAAGGUACUCUCUUGUUCUGUGUGAUUUUGGUUUAACCGCCUGGAGUUUUAGUUAUGUCGACCGCAGGUAUGAUCAAAGUCUCUCCUGGGUGUCCUAACUUCGAUGGAACGGACUACCCCUACUGGAAGAACAAGAUGCGAAUGUAUCUUGAGGGAAUUGACAAUGAUCUCUGGUAUGUUGUGGAAAAUGGUGUUCCCUCAGUCACACCUUCCCUGAACGCUACUGAUGUGAACAGAUUCAAGCAACUCGAUUCUCAAGCGAAGAAUAUCACAUGUGGCCAUCUGAGCAAAGGACAAUAUGGUAGAGUGAGUGCUUUGGAAACUACUAAGCUUAUCUGGGAUAGGCUGUCCAAAGUGAAUGAAGGAGUCUCAACUCAACGUGACUCUCGUGUUGACAUUCUUCACAAUCUCUUCAACCGCUUCAAAAGACUCGACAAUGAAAAUGUUCAGCAAACUUUCGAUCGCCUCACUGACAUCUCAAAUGAGCUUCAAGCGCUUGGCGCCACUGACAUCACCGACCAUGAGGUGGUGAAGAAAUUGUUGAGAUCGCUGGAUUCUUCAUUUGAUACUCUGGCACUAAUGAUUCAAGAGCGUGCUGACUAUAAGUCACUUGAUCCCGUUGAUAUCCUCGAAAGGCUAAAUACUCAUGAGUUCCAGCUUGCUGAGAAGAGAGAUCUCUACGGUUCGAGCUAUGGUAAACCACGUGCUUUGAAGGCCAAGGCAGUCUCUGAGUCUGAAGAAGAGGACUCCACUAGCAGCCUUGGUGAUCCUGAAGAUCUGAGCCAGGAACUAGCAUUGCUCGUGAAGAAAUUUCAGAAGUUCUCAAGAUGUGGUCGCUUUGGGAAAUCCUCAAGGAGCAUUGAUUCCUCAUCCAAUGACUACAAGAAAAGGCUAUGUCACAAGUGCAAGAAACCUGGUCAUUACAUUCAAGAUUGUCCUCGGUGGGAUAAGGAAUUGAAGAAGAAGAAAUACAAGGAUUACAGUUUUGAUGAUGCCAAGAAGAAGAAGAAAUCUUCAAAGUCUUCAUCAUCAAAAUCCUCAAAGUCUUCAUAUCACAAGAAGAGCAGCUCCAAGAAGGCUCGGGCAUUCAUAGGCAAGGAAAUGGAUUCUGAGGCUGAAUCUAAGGAUCAUGAGGAUGAGGAGGCAUCCGAGGAGUCCGAGUCUGGUGCGGCAAGCCUGGCUCUUGCUACCGCGUUCGUCAGCAAGUCUAUCUUCAACUCUGAAGAAAAUGGCAACACCGACAAUGCUGAUGAAGGCAAUGAUGACUAUGCUCCCACCUAUUGCUUCAUGGCAAAGGGUGCCAAGGUAACUAAAUAUGCCUCCUCUGACUCUAGUGAGGAUGAAUCUGAUGAAAAUCUCAAGCCCAGGUACUCUAAACUUGCUAAAAUUGCUGUGAAACAACAAAAGGCCCUUGAAAAGGUUCAAAACAUGCUAGACAAAAGUGAUGAUAUGCUGGGUGAAGAAAUGGAUCGCACUAAAACCUUGACUGAAAAUCUUCAAAGACUUCAGUCCAGGUUUGACAAUCUUCAAGGUCAUCAUCACACUCUCUUAUCUGAUCACGAGAAGCUUUCUUAUGAAUUUCUUCAAAGAAAUCAAGAUCUUGAAAAGCUAAGAGUGGAUUAUGAAGAUCUUCAUAAGGAUCAUGAUUCAUUACUUGCUCAACAAAUCAGCGCUACCCAGGAAGAAUUUGUUCCUCCAUGUCUAAAGUGCAUUGAACGUGAAACUGCUAAUUCUUCUCCUGAAUGUUCAAAUGCUUCUAAUGCUACAAAUUCUUCAUAUGUCUCUACUAUCACUAAUUCCUCAUCUGAGGACAAUGCAAGUAUCACUGAUGAUGCAGGGCUGAAGGAAUUGUACAUGACAGGCAUGUACAAAAGCCUCAAAGGGCAUCAGACUCAUUGUGAUGUGCUCAAAAAGCAGAUCCUCAAUAGAAACCCUAGGAAAGAGGGUAUUGCCUUUGGGAGGAAACUCAUGGAACAUAUUGGAAGCCCGAGCAGUACCCCAAAACCUCAUGGGUUGCUGCAAAGGGACCUCCAGUUGAUCCAUCCAACUUAUCUGGCUUUACAUGUGAAUCUCCUCAUUCUUCUGAUGAGUCAUUUGACUCUAACUAUAAACUGCUCAAAAAUCAGAAUGGUGAAGUAUUUGCUAGAUAUGUUGGGACUAACUGCAGGAACGGUUCUCCUAUGAAGAAAAUCUGGGUUCCCAAAAGUUGCCUUGAAAGUCUUCAGGUGAAUGUCCUCAUGACACCACCUGUGAAGAAUAGGAACCCCAGAUCAACUUCUUCAUAUGAACCAAAUUCUUCAUAUGGAUCCAAGUCCUCAAGUGGACCAAAUUCCUCACGUGGAUCAUAUUCCUCAAAUGGAUCAAAGUCCUCUUAUGAUCAUCAUCGUGCUAACCCUUCUGUUUCGCAGGGUAGAGCUAAGGGCUAUGAAUAUGUGCAUUAUUCUUCAAAUCAUUAUGUUCAUAAGUCCUUGAAGAAUUUCUCUGCUUAUUCAUAUGCUUACCCUAACCCCUCUUAUGUGAAACAAAGCGGACUGGCUUCUAUGCCACCUUUCUCAUAUGGUGCACGCAGAGUGAUGAAUUCUUUGCCACCCCUCCAGAUGUGGGUGGUGAAGAAAAAGAACUAAUGUCUUUUGCAGGGUCAGGUCUCCAGUCGUACUCAAAACGACUGAAGAAUUUGCUGGAGACCUGAACAGUGCCUGAUAGGAUGCAAGCUAAUCAUGAUGAAAUGAACUUUCAUUUCACACGUCCUCCUACUGAUUAUUUGUUCUAAUUGCUUGAUAAAAUUGACCUGAUGAUAUUAGUGUCUUAUUCUUCACUGAUGAAGUCUAUGAGUUUGUAAGCUGCACUAAUUCAUCUACAGGAUGAUCAACCCAAAGCAAAUGAGUGGGUCAUCGAUAGUGGAUGUACAAAUCACAUGACCGAUGACAAGAAUCUAUUGAUGGAUGCUCCCUUAUCACCGUCACAUCUGAAGCAUAUCAUCUUCGCAGACAAAGGCAAAAGUCAUGUAUUGGGUCUAGGUAAGGUUGCGAUCUCAAAGGACUGACACAUGGACAAAGUCAUGCUUGUUGAGUCGUUAGGAUACAAUCUCAUGUCUGUCUCAAUGCUUUGUGAUCUUGAUAUGGUUGUUGUCUUUGGAAGAUAUCGUUGUGUUGUAAUCAUGAAAGCUGACCAUUCCAAAGUCUUCGAAGGCUUUAGGAGAGGAGAUCUGUAUAUUGUUGAUUUCUCUACAGGACCACAACCAGCCGUGUGCUUACUUGCAAAAGCUUCAGAAGGCUGGCUAUGGCAUCGACGACUUGGUCAUGCUGGCAUGAGGAAUCUGCACACGCUCGCGAAGAAGAAGCAUGUCAUUGGCAUUGAGAAUGUCAAAUUCCUCAAGGAUCACUUAUGCGGAGCCUGUGAAGCUAGGAAGAUGACAAAUGCCAAGCAUCCAGUGAAGACUAUCAUGACAACCACUCGACCAUUUGAAUUGCUUCACAUGGAUCUCUUCGGUCCAAAUCAUUAUUCUGAUGUUACAAAUGAUGCAUCUCUAUAUGGUUUUGUUAUUGUUGAUGACCAUUCUCGUUACACAUGGGUGCACAUUGUAACUUACAAACAUGAGGUGCAGGAAGUCUUCAAACAAUUUUCCUCGAAGGCUUCAACCAACUUUGGUGUGAAGAUCAAACACAUCAGAAGUGACAAUGGGACUGAGUUCAAGAAUUCCGGUCUUGAUAGCUAUCUUGAUGAACUUGGUAUUACUCAUGAGUUAUCUGCUCCUUAUACUCCUCAGUAGAAUGGCGCCGUGGAGCGCAAGAACAGAACUCUCGCUGAAAUGGCUCGCACUAUGCUUGAUGAAUACAAAACACCUCGUCGAUUCUGGAUUGAUGCAAUUGAUACCGCUUGCCACAUCAUCAACAGAGUAUAUCUUCACAAUUUCUUCAAGAAGACUGCCUAUGAACUCCUCACUGACAAGAAACCCAAUGUGAGUUACUUCAAAGUCUUCGGUGCUAAAUGUUGGAUUAGAGAUCCUCAUCACAAUUCUAAAUUUGCAUCGAAAGUACAUGAGGGUUUUAUGCUUGGUUACGGAAAGGACUCGCACACCUACAGAGUCUUCAACAACGUUCUUCACAAGGUUGUUGAAACUGUAGAUGUGUGGUUGGGUGAAACUAAUGGCUCGCAAAGAGAGCACCUACCUUCUGUAAUAGAUAAUCCAGCACCCGAGGAUUCUAUCAAGCUCAAGGCUACUGAGGAUGUCAUUCCUACUGAAGAAUCUACUGAAGAAUUCAUUCCAGAACAUGAUGAACAUCAAGCUGGCGCACCUGAAGAAAAUGGUUCUAAAGAAAAUGCUCCUGAAGAAAAUGCAGAUCAAAUUCCUCGAAGACAACCCACUCAUCCUCGCAUUGCUAACGAAGUGCAAAUCGAGAAGAUCAUCGAUGACAUUGAAGCCCCAGGUCCUCUCACACGCUCAAAAUCUUCUCAUUUAUCUAACUUUUGUGGGCACUUUGCGUUUGUCUCUAUCACAGAGCCCACUGAGGUAGAUGAAGCAUUUAUGGAGCCUGAGUGGAUUCAAGCUAUGCAAGAAGAAUUACAUCAAUUCAAGCUCAACAACGUCUGGGAACUGGUCAAACGUCCAGAUCCUCACAAGCACAACAUUAUUGGCACAAAGUGGAUCUACCGCAACAAGCAAGAUGAAAAUGGCCUUGUGGUGAGGAAUAAGGCACGGCUUGUAGCUCAAGGCUACACACAAGUUGAAGGAAUUGACUUCGAUGAAACUUUUGCACCUGUAGCUAGACUUGAGGCUAUUCGCAUAUUACUUGCUUACGCUAACCAUCAUGAUAUUAUCUUACAACAAAUGGAUGUGAAAAGUGCAUUCCUCAAUGGUAAGCUUGAGGAAUAAGUAUAUGUUGCUCAACCACCCGGUUUUGAAGAUCCAAAGAAUCCCGACAAAGUCUUCAAACUCAACAAGGCCAUGUAUGGCCUCAAGCAAGCCCCUCGGGCGUGGUAUGAUACUUUGAAGGAAUUCUUCAUGAAGAAAGGCUUCAAACUCGGUUCACUCGACCCAACUCUUUUCACUAAAUCUUAUGAUGAUGAAUUGUUUGUAUGCCAAAUAUAUGUUGAUGAUAUCAUUUUUUGCUGUACUGACCAAUGAUAUAGUGAUGAAUUUUCCCAUAUGGUGAGUGAAGAAUAUCAAAUGUCUAUGAUGGGAGAAGUGAAAUUCUUUUUAGGUCUUCAAAUUCGUCAACAGCGCAAUGGGAUACUCAUAUCUCAGGAGAAAUACCUCAAGGACGUAUUGAGGAAAUUCGGCAUGCAAGAUUGCAAAGGGGUCAAAAUUCUAAUGCCCAUAAAUGGCCAUCUAUGCACUGAUGAAAAUGGUAAAGACUUCGAUCAAAAGGUAUACCGCUCCAUGAUAGGUUCUUUAUUGUACCUAUGUGCAUCUAGGCCGGAUAUUAUGCUUAGUGUUUGCAUGUGUGCCCGAUUUCAAGCUACACCGAAGGAAUCACACCAUAAGGCUGUGAAGCAUAUUCUUCGAUACUUAGCUCACACACCAACACUUGGAUUAUGGUAUCCCAAGGGCUCUACUUUUGAUCUCAUUAGAUAUUCAGACUCUGACUAUGCUGGCGAUCGCGUGGACCGCAAGUCAACAUCUGGUACAUGUCAUUUCCUCGGACGAUCUUUGGUCUGUUGGUCCUCGAAAAAACAGAAUUGUGUAUCUCUCUCCACUGCAGAAUCUGGAUGCAUUGCUGCUGGAUCGUGCUGUGCUCAAUUACUAUGGAUGAAGCAAACACUCAAGGACUAUGGCAUCAACAUGAAGAAUGUGCCUCUCUUCUAUGACAAUGAGAGUGCCAUCAAAAUUGCUCAUAACCUAGUUCAGCACUCGAAGACCAAGCACAUCCAGAUUCGUCAUCAAUUUCUUCGUGAUCAUGUGUUGAAGGGCAACAUCUCCAUCGAUCACGUCAGCACUGAAGAUCUAUUGGGCGAUAUCUUCACUAAGCUCUUGGAUGAGAAGAGAUUUAGCAAGUUGCGAUGUGAGCUAAAUAUCCUAGAAUCUUCGAAAGUUCUCUGAAAUGGACACACAUCCUAACACUUAUACUGACUUGAUGACUUAGAUGCGCAACACACGAAGUAACGUUUUUCUUCAAUCAAUGAAGACUAACCCUCUAAGUGUGAAGAAAUAGAUUCCCAGAGCCCUACGACAAUUGUACGCGGCGUCUGAAAUCAGCUUUCUUAUACGGUGGGUCACGCCACCAACCAAAGUUGAAAAUCUUCAAUUUGAGUUUUUCUUCGUUUUGAAAUUCCUCAGUUUUCAAAUUCUUCAACUUUGCAUUGUCUUUGCUCUUUCCAGUGUUGUUCUUCAUUUGAAUAUAUAUAUAUAUAUAUAUAUAUAUAUAUAUAUAUGAGUUUUAUGUCCUCUACAACAUUCACUUAUUGCUAUUUCUUCAAGUUGAUUUCUUCUGCUAAGUGAAUGUGAUCGGACUCUUCCCUCUCUAUGCUAAACUCAACCCAGUCUAUUCACAAAUUCUUCAUGUGCGUUCUAUUUGAAACUCAUUCAAAUUCUUCACUGUGUCCUUGACAGCUGAAGAAAUUGCGAACGGAACUUUUAACUUAUCUUAUCUGAAUUUUCGGCUUUGCCGCUCAAACUGUUCCGCUUCUCAUGACAAAUACUCAUCUAUUCACCCACGAUCCUACAAGAUCGCCACCUCACAGUACGUAGGUGACACAUGUCACGUGAAUGAGAAGGGCCAGGGGCACGUUCGUCCGAUUUCCUCGGUUGAACAAUUUUUCACUUUCUCUAUAAAUACCCCUGUCUCUUCCUCACUUCACUUUCACCUCGCUCGUGCUCUCACUCUCGCUUGAGCUUCCCCAGAACCCUAGCGCCGCCGCUACUUCAUCGUCGCCGGUGAGUAAGAUCUUCACUGCCUCGACCUCGUCGCCGUCGUACUCAUGCCGGUUGCGGAUUUCUUCACUCUGCCGCCGACGUAGCCGUAUUCCUCUGCCAAGUUAGGGCGUGGAAGAUCUGAACUGACGAACUUCUCAUCUACACUUCCCAGUUCGUCGUGUUCUUCACUUCGGGUAAUUAAAAGUUACUUUUAUUGCUCACUUUGAUUCUCAAGUUUUCUUAAAAAUCUUCAAAGGUGUUUAUUCUUCAAAUCUUCACACACAUUAACACCUCACUUGUAAUCUGCUCUUGAUUCAUUUCUCUAAGCAAUGAUUUUCAUCAAGAUUCCUCAAUUGUGUGGAUUUUCAAUCUAUACAACUCUAGAACCUAAGACAAAAACGCUUAGUGAAAUUCCUCAAGACUCAUCUGGUCAAAUUCCUCAAAACCUAUUCUUUUUGAAAAACCUUCUCAGAAUGCAUAUGACCUCUCCAAAUUCCUCGCAACUAUACUUUGUUCACAGGUACAAAUGUCCGCUACUGAAUCACUAGGUUCUCAUCAACUUAACUCAUUUGCAGCAUUCCUCGAAGAAAAGUUGCACACCUCUUCAGAAACUUCAGUUGUUCAUAUUCCUCAGCUGAAUAAAAUGGGUGAUAAAAGGCCACAGAAGGGUGGAAAGAGGCUUGAGGUCAAUACUGCAUUUGAAAUUCCUGAGGACAUAUACAGGGACUACUGCACACCUGAUGAAGCCAAAUUCGGCAAAGAGGACAAGAAUCAGCUCAAGGUGCGCAUACAAAGGAUAGAGAGGAGAUGGGCACGAGAAUGGAGGGAGUACAGAUAUGUCACUCCCAAGUACAUGAAGAAAUUUGCACUCAACCCUCCAUGCCCAAGACCUCCAUUGGCACCAAGCCAGUUGGCAGAUCCUACCAGCCUCAAGCGUGGUGAGGAUUAUCCUGAUGAAUGGGCAAAGCGCCAAGCCAAAUUGUCUAAACAAGCAAAGGAAGCAGUGAAGAAAUUCAACACAGACUCUGCUGCUGCUGCUGCUACCUCUGCUGAGGCCUCUGCUAGUCUGCCAAAGAAGGCAAUGCACAAGAAGCCUGUGCAUAAGUCCAGUGCUUCAUCUUCAAUGUCCUCAUGGCCAAGCCCCUCUGCUAUGCCAUCAAGGCCAGAUUCUUCAAGGCCCUCACGGCAAAUUCCUCAGACUGCUCCGUCAAAGUCCUCAGCUCCUCCGUCAAAAUCUUCAGCUGUUCCGAAAAAAUCCUCGGCACCUAUGCAUCUCGCCACGUGCCAAAGGACUCAAGGCUUCUCUAUUGCCUCUGGAGCAUCUGCAAGCUCCUCAGCUGCUCAAACUUCCUCAGCUGGUCCCUCACUGCUGAAGAAAAAGGCCACUGCUGGAUGAGGUAUUCGACCAAGUCCUCACAAGAAGCAAGUCGCUUUCCAAGUGCCCUCUGAUGAUGAUGAGGCAGAUGAUGAAGAACUCGCUGAAAUCAUCAGAAACAGGCAAGCCAGGGACGCUAGAGCUAAAGGCAACAAUAUGCCGCUGAUGCUGGAUCCAAAGUUGAUCCUCGACUACAUUGACCUGUGGCACAAGGAUCCUAACACGCCUUUGUCGGAGAUGAACCUCACUCCUGGUCAAAGUCAUGUUCUUACUGCCUUCAUUGAGGAAGAAAAAUGGAAAUUUGAGCAAGAUAGAAGUUUGAAGAAAGCGCAAUACAAGAAACAGUGCUACCUCAAGGACAAUGUCCUCACUCUCACUCCUGAUUAGCUACUUGCCUUGCAAGUGGAAAUCAAACAACUGAGCGAUGAAUUUGAUCGCUACCAUGCUGAUUGGAAGGGCGCCAAGGUGCGUUUCGUCAAUCUGACGAAGAAAUUCACUUCAAGUGUUGCCCCACCUAUGCACGUUGAAGUUACUCGAGCUGAGGCAUCUGCUCAGCCUACUGAAGUACAUGCCAGCACCGCUGAUGACAAUCAGGCUGUUGAAGAAAAUGAGAGUGCCAGGGCUGAUGACUCCAUUCCAGUCGCUGAAGAUAUUGCCAGGGCAUCCACUAGUGGUGCGCCUGAAGAAAGUGAACAAGUCAGGGCAACUGCAUCAGUUGCGCCUGAGGAAAAUGAACCAAAGUCCUCUGCAUCUUCUGCGCCUACCCCAACUCCAAUCCUUCCAUCUGCAUCAGAUGCGAAGAAGACCAAGGCUGCAGAACGUGCAGCUGUGAAGAAAAGGAAGGCAUCAACUUCUUCAAAUUCUUCAGCUCCAAAGAAAAUGAAGACUUUGAUCAAUUUGAUUGACAAUCCAAUUGACGUCGUUCCAGUUUCAUCAAUGCCAUCAAAGGACCUUGUUCCUUUUGGUGAAGAUUAUGUGAUUCCUGAUGAAUCUGAUGAAGAAACUCCUUCUGCUACUUCGACAGAGAAGUUGGACGAAGAAAUUGAAGUGGAUGAGAUCCCUUCAACCCCAGUCAUUUCCUCACCUAUGCCUCAGUUUACUGCUGAAGAGGUAGGUGUUGAAGAAAUUGAAGAUGAGGAUGUGGACAUUGGGUGUACCACUCCUGUGCUCAAUGAUGAAUUUUGGGACAGUCAACAUCCAAACUCACCAACGUUCACUCCACUCCAAGCUAUUCCUCAGUCCCCUGCCGCCACUGAAGUGCAAAUGGGAUCUAAAGAACCUCAUGCAACCCCAAGUGUUCAUGAAGAAAUUCCAGCCACUAGUGCUGAAGAAAUUGUCAAUGAAGAAUUGACGACCCAGGCUGAAGCUGAAGAAGAGCCUGAAAUUCCUCAGCCUGAGGAACCUGAGAUUGCGAUUCCUGAAGUGGUGCUGCAAUUGACUAACACUCCUCAGCCCAAGCCAAAGGAUCCCUUCUCCAAGAAGCAAAAAUUCAAGGCUGAUGAUUUCUUCAGCGAGCACGUAUUCUUCACUGAAUUCAACCCCUAUGACAAUGCUUGUCUUAGAAGGAAGCAUUUCUGGACUGCUAGCCAGGCCAACUUCUAUUCCUUAGUGCUUUACAACAAGGACAAAGUCUUCGACCACGAGCACAUUCCUCAUGUGGACAUGGAAUCCAUGCCUUGCUUCUCUCAAGUCCUCAGCAUGACUCAUGAUGUUGGCUUGCUAAAUUUCUGCUCUGACAUAGUUGAUUAGAAUGAAGAGCUUAUUCUUCAGUUUUACGCAACUCUGCAUAUCACAAGCGAUGCUACUGACGUCAACUCGUGGGUGUUGGACUGGAUGACUAAAAACACUCAUUACAAGGCACCAGCCUCUGAAUUGCUUCGUGCCUUACCAAUCAGUCCUCCACUUGAUGGUGCUCGUUGUCUAUAUGAUGAGACUGAACUCACUGAUCACUAUAUGCAAGUGCUCAUGAAGCCGCUAAAGCCAGGACAAGCUCCAAGGACCAAAUUCCUCGUGAAGGAAUUGCUCUAUGUGCCAAGAACAAUCUACCGCAUUCCGACGAAGACCAUGAGUCCUAUCAAAGGCCAUGACUCAUCUGAUGAAGAAAUUAUCAGAAUGAUGAAGAAUAUGCUUUUCAACAACAUGCAUGGCAUCCCCAUAAAUUAUCAUGAUUUCUUCAUGAGGACUCUGGCGAAUGUUGCACUUUCACCAUUUGAGCUGAAGCCUUACGCAUCGUGGAUCAUGAGAUUCCUCAGAACAAGGUCUUCACUCAACUACAAGGCUGAUUUUCAGAAUCACCUCAUCUACUUGCCCCCUAUUGAAGUCCUCAAGUGGACUAUUUCCUCAUCUGAUGAGAAGGGCAAGUCACCAGCCGUGAACGAUGAAGGCAUUCGUCCAUUGGAUGGUCAGUUCCACAAAGUUGCAUCUUACUCCACCAAUGAUGACUCUGCCACUCAUGAUUCUGCUGCCAAUGCUACCAAGUCAAGUCCUCAAGCUACUGCUCCACGUGUGAUGACUGACCGUGAACUGCUUAUAAGUCUUCACCAGAAGGUGGAUCGAAAUCACAAGUGGGUUAAGCGUCAGUUUGGUUCUAUUCUUCACAACAUGACUUCUACACAUAAUGCAGUGAAGAAAAACCACUACUACCUCCAUGAAGUGUUUGAUUGCACCUGGGCUAUUCUGUCACAUCUAUAUGGUGAGAAAGAUCUGAAGCAAAUGGGCUUCAUGGAAGACUUUGACUGGUCUGCUCCACCACCGAAGAGAUUCAAGAAAGUCAAGGUUCCUUCCUUGGUGGCUAGCUCAUAUUCUUCAUCACGCGCCACGGAUGAGCAUGAAGAUUUGGACGACACUGCAGCAGGCCCUACAACAACUAAGAGCCUGACGACGCUGGCGCUCCUCCAUCAUCAUGAUAUUCUUCAGGGGCGUUAGUCCUCAGUUUCAACCCUUUUGGUCAUUCGAUGAUGAAGGGGGAGAAAUUUGAGUUAGUCUUCAAGCAGGUCUAUCUUAUAUGGGUGUUUUUUGCUAAGUUACAACUCUCGUUCUUCUGAUGACUUUGUUGGAUCGAGUUGUAAUCUUAAACUCUAUGGUGGCCUGAUACUUUUGUUGUGUUCUUCUGGAUGCUUAUUCCUCAUUAAUGUUAAUGCACGCAUGCUGAAUUACACCAGUCACCAUAUUUCAUCAUGCAUUUCAAAUUCUUCAUAUUAUAUAUCAAAUGCGUGUAUGAAUUACAAGAUAUAGGGGGAGAUAUCCAUGAUUAUACUCUUCAAGUGUGCAUUGCUUCAAAAGCAAAAUCCUCACUAUGCACAUCUUCAGGGGGAGUUCUUCUAUAUCUUGCAAUCAAAUUCCUCAAUAUCAGUAUUCACACUUCACAUGUUUAUCCCCGUUGAAAACUUAAUCUAUAUUAUCAUCAAUCACCAAAAAGGGGGAGAUUGUAAGUGCAUCUAGUGCCCCUUAGUGUUUUUGGUGUAUUGAAGACUUAUAGGUUAAGGGACUGAUGCGUUUGUGAGUGUACACAGGUCUAUAAGUCUAUGAGGAGUUUGAUAUUUACAGAGAAAGUCGACCCCUAAAAAUGAAGUUCUUCAACUGAAGACUUUGGAUUUCUGAAGACUUUCUGAAGACUUUGAAAGUGAAGAAAUUGGUGUGACCUUGAAGACUUGGCAAUCAUUCGAGGAACAUGAAGCAUGAAGACUUUCGUUUUUAUAGUUUCAUUUUCUCUUUCUUGAGUCAUAGGAAACACCGUACUGUUAAAGGGGGUCGAGGAAAUACUAAGGAAAAAUUUCCAUGUGAUGCUCAACUCAAAAUCUUACACCUACCAAUCCCUUCGAGUGAAGCCAUUGGAAAUCUCAUACAGUUCAUUCAUAUUCUUCAGUGGCAGAGAUGAAGUUCUUCUGGUCUCUGAGGAAUUUGUUCUGACUGAGGAGUUAGGAAUUCGCCAGUGUGAAUUGCCUACAUAGUGAGGAAGAUGAUAGCCCUGAGGUAUUUGAGAGUCAAAUAUUCCGACCGUUGCUGUGCUACGUGCCAGCUGUCCCAAAAUAUCUACCCACCUAACGGUCAUAUCAGACAAGGGCAUUUAUGUCUUAUCAUGUCGGGUUGCUCCCUAGGCUAUAAAUAGCCGCCCCUACAACCACUAGUUGGUUGGCUGCUCCGAGAGAAACUAACACUUGUCAAUUGAGAGCAACCCAUCCUCCGAGGACUUUGAGCGAAAAUCAUCAAGUGAGGAAAACCCAAACCCAAAGUGAUUGAGCAUCACUGAAGAGAUUGAUCCUGCGUGGAUCCAACGCUUGUUUCCUUUGAAGACUGUGCUUCUUCCAGACGGUUAGGCGUCAAGGUCUAGAGCAUCCAAGAGGAAUUGUGGAUCGCCGAGUGAUCGAGUUUGUGAAGGUUCGGAAGUCACCUGAAGACUUACCAUGAGUGAUUGGGCGAGGUCUGUGUGACCGUAGCUCAAGGAGAAUACGGUGAGGACUGUGUGUCCGGGACUGGGUGUCCUCGAGUUUGAAUACUCAGCCGCUCCAACCGGAUGUACAACUGAGACAGCAGUUGGAACUGGUCUACCAAAUCAUUGUCUUCACCGAGCUAACUGGUUCUAUCUUCUCAACUCUUUCAUUUCCUCAUGUAUGUUGUUGUGUGCCUGUUCAUAUCUGUUUGAAGACACUGACUGAAGACUUUCUCAAUUUCCUCAGUUCUAUUUCUUUAGUCUGUCCGUCUUCUUCCUCGUGUUAUCAUGUGUUUACGCUUUUUGUACUCUAUGCUUGUCUUCAUUUCAUCAUGAUGACUAUGCUUGUGUUCUGUUAUGUUCCUUUUUGAGUACUUAUUCCGCUGCAAGUAGUUCUUCAUUUAGGAAUUUCCUCACCAGAAAAUUCCUCAGUGAAGAAUUCAUAAAAAUUGCCUAUUCACCCCCCCCUCUAGUCGAUAUAACGCAUUUUCAGCUCCCAAAAGAGGGGGAAGCAAGAAGAAACAAUUUCUAGGGCUAGACACAAAGAGCCGGUUUACCGGCGACUCUCUCGUGAUGAUAAUGAGACCUAGCCACAAACAACAUGUAGGGUUGUUACCGGAUGAUGUUUCCCGGGGCCCAAAGCUGUCUAAACUCUUGUCUUGCAUUGCGUCUCUCGAUUCCGCUCAACCCCUCUCAAGCUACCACAUAGAUGCGUUGGCCUCACGACUAAGUCCUCGCACUAGGACAUCUGUCGUGACAAUUCCACGACAGUGCCUUAAGCGCUAGCUGGCGCCCACUACACCUCUUUGUUAGUUUUACUCGGGCCAUGUAAACCAAAGAGAAGAAGUUGGGGCUCUAGUCCUCUCCUCUGAGCCUCCAGGAGAGAGAGAGAGAGGGAGGGAGGGAGGGAGAGAGAGAGAGGCAACAGUGCGACGAGGCGGGCUGGGCUGGACGGGCUCCGCGUGUUAUCAAGAGAUAUCAGGCCGCUCGUCCGUAUUGCUCGAGCAUUUCUGCCUUUGCCGUAGCUGCCCCUCAGCUUCAUGCAUAGUUACAUCUCAUGGGGUUUAAGUGGAUGGGGCUGUGGCAAAAUCCUCAAAUGUAGGAGUUGUUGUUGUAGUUUGCCGCAAUGAAGAAGGCUUGUUUCUAGGGGCGUCUGCAAUUGCUUUCCAUGGAAUUACCGAGCCUAUACUAGAAGCUUAUGCAUGUAGAGAGGCUUUAGCUCUUGCUGAAGACUUGGUCGUUAACAAAUUGCGUAUAACAUCCGACUGUCUGAGAGUCACCAAUGACCUAAAAGAUCAGGUGCAUCGAGAGAGUUACUGUAUGAUCCUACAGGAGAUACAGGAGAGAAACGUGCUAGUAACGGAGAGGCACACAUGUUAGCUAGGAUGGCUACUACCUUAGAUAUUGGCCGUCAUGUGUGGCUCAAUGGUCCCCUGACCAUUUUUUGUAUUCCCCUAAACAUUAUGAUAUGAAAUAAAGUGCGUUGCUAUUCUCAAAAAAAAAGUUACACCUCAAAAAAAAAAAAC